Molecule: ribosomal RNA, 253 nt
Filed under: uncultured bacterium
Lineage: Bacteria
Description: partial 16S ribosomal RNA
Rfam family: Bacterial small subunit ribosomal RNA
Source: RNAcentral
UACGUAGGUGGCGAGCGUUGUCCGGAUUUACUGGGCGUAAAGAGCUCGUAGGCGGUUUGUCGCGUCUGCCGUGAAAGUCCGGGGCUCAACUCCGGAUCUGCGGUGGGUACGGGCAGACUAGAGUGAUGUAGGGGAGACUGGAAUUCCUGGUGUAGCGGUGAAAUGCGCAGAUAUCAGGAGGAACACCGAUGGCGAAGGCAGGUCUCUGGGCAUUAACUGACGCUGAGAAGCGAAAGCGUGGGUAGCGAACAGG